RNAcentral lists this long non-coding RNA (1690 nucleotides) under Homo sapiens (human). Its description in RNAcentral is "HSALNT0382458". Lineage: Eukaryota; Metazoa; Chordata; Mammalia; Primates; Hominidae. The record is from RNAcentral.
UGCUGGCCUGCAGGUGCCCAUUGGUACAAGCAGCCUGGGUGCCUUGGUCAGCACAGCAGGCAGAUGGGCUCCUGGGUGGAGGGGGGCAGGUCCCUGGUGAGGCUCCACUUUCAGGCCAAGGAAGGUCUGAAGGCUGGGGACUGGGCUGCCAAUCCUAUGGACCAGAGUGGAGACUUGUGUCUUUUCUGGCCCGCCUGUGUCUGCCCACGGACCAAUUGGUGCUCACUUCCUUCCCUCUGAGGCCCAUAAAAGCCGUGGGCUCAGCCGGAGCAGAGCAGAGCUGAGGACACAGGGAUGACUGGACUACCAGCUGGAGAGAGGAGCUACCCUCUCUGCUAGGGGCCGAACACUCCUCCGGACACCCUGGCUACAGUGCAGGACAAGAACUUAGGACUGCAGGACAAGAACUCGAGACCCACACAAUGCACCACCAGGCUCGACCCAGCACAGCUCAUCCACCCACCCCAAUGACAGAAUGCAGCCAGAACUGUGGUCAAUAUGGAGUGGCACCUUUGAGAGAGGGCCUCUGAGCAAGUUCCUGUGCCUGUUUCUUUCAACGAGGAUAACUACUUCCACCUGCCUUUGUAAUUUGUUCCUGGGACAAAGAAAGCCUCUUGAGGAGGCUGGCCUGCCCUGCAUAUGUUGGAUAAACGCUUGAAAUAUGGACCUGUCCCCAUCUCUCGCCUUUCCCCGGAAUUCAGGACUGAAUGGAUGCUGCCUGCAUUUUGGGGAGUGGGAGUUUUGCUUUUCCUUUGCUUUGCUACUUACUCACUCUGAUGAACAAGGAGGAGACUGACAGCUUCACAGUCCUGGAUCAUUUCCUGCCCUGUUCUCCCAUCCAGCUCAUGGAAGUCAGCAACUCCAUCCACUCAUUGCACAGAGACCAGAAAGGGGAAGGGAUUUUCUCACUGUCUCACAGCAACUAAUGGCCAAGCUGUGGUGGGCGUCUUGGUGGUCUGAUUCCAAUUCAAGUUGGAGUGAGAGAGUGAGAAGAUUAUGGGCUGUGGCCUCAAGCCAACCAGGGUCUAAACCCAGCAUUGCCUCUGGCUUACUUGUGUCUCCUCUGCUUCCUCAUUCUUAGAAUGGAAAUCAUCAUCAUCAUCUCAUAGAAGUGUUAUGGGCAACAGACAGGAUAAUGUACAUGAAGCUCAUACAGCCUUAGGAUUAAAACCAGUGAAGACCCAAACGACUGUACCUGGGAAUUUAAGAUAAACAGGGUGUGUUACUGCCUGGCACAAACUGGGAAUUUGUGCAAAGGUAAGAUACCAAGCAGGACAGUAUUUCUCCUUGAGGGACCGUGAAAUCUUCUCAUCAUUUAAGCUUAUGAAACGAGGUGGAGCCUCAUUUCUUAAAGGGGGAAAUGCAAAUCAAAACUACCUGGGUAUCAUAUGAAAUUAUACCUUGAUAAAGCUGAUUUUUAAAACAUUACCCUGAGAAUUGUAAAGAUCAACAGUCCUGAUAACAAGCCAGGCAUCGUGGCUCAUGCCUGUAGUUCCAACUACUUGAGAGGCUGAGGUGGGAGGAUUGCUGGAGCCCAGGAGUUUGAGGCCAGCCUGGGCAGCAUAGCAAGACCCUCUUAAAAAAAUAAAAUCCUGGCCAGGCGCGGUGGCUCAUGCCUGUAAUCCCAGCACUUUGGGAGGCCGAGGUGGGCAGAUCACGAGGUCAGGAGAUCGAGACAAUCCUGGCUAAC